GGCUGUUGUUUGCAGCAGGCUCGCCUGAAAUUUAUGAGCAGUUUCGUCUUUGGAAACUUGGCUUGACUUGGCGUAGUAAAUAUUUCGCUGAGGACAACCUCUCAUCGAGGUUGGCCAAGUUCUUUAGAGGAAGGGCUUCCAAUGAAACUAUUUAAAAAUUCUUUGACAUCGAAUCAGAUAGGACUACCCGCUGAACUUAA
This 200-nucleotide unclassified non-coding RNA is filed under the name soil metagenome. RNAcentral's name for it is "partial contains internal transcribed spacer 2 and large subunit ribosomal RNA". The record is from RNAcentral.